AUGCAGAUCUUCGUGAAGACCUUCACCGGAAAGACCAUCACCCUCAAGGUUGAGUCUUCUGACACAAUUGACAAUGUGAAGGCCAAAAUCCAGGAUAAGGAGGGCAUUCCACCGGACCAGCAGCGCCUGAUCUUUGCAGGCGAACAGCUUGAGGAUGGACGCACCCUUGCUGAUUACAAUAUCCAGAAGGAAUCCACCUUGCACCUGGUGCUUCGCCUACUUGGUGGCAUUCAGAUUUUCAUCAAGACCCUUACUGGCAAGACCAUCACCCUAGAGGUUGAAUCAUCGGACACCAUUGACAAUGUGAAGGCGAAGAUUCAGGACAAGGAGGGUAUCCCCCCGGACCAUCAACGCCUGAUCUUCGCUGGUAAGCAGCUUGAGGAUGGUCGCACUCUGGCUGAUUACAACAUUCAGAAGGAGUCUACUCUCCACCUGGUGCUCCGCCUUCGUGGUGGCCAAACCUGCUGA
Molecule: ribosomal RNA, 468 nt
Filed under: Triticum aestivum (bread wheat)
Lineage: Eukaryota; Viridiplantae; Streptophyta; Magnoliopsida; Poales; Poaceae
Description: partial small subunit ribosomal RNA
Source: RNAcentral